This 337-nucleotide unclassified non-coding RNA is filed under the name soil metagenome. RNAcentral's name for it is "partial contains 5.8S ribosomal RNA, internal transcribed spacer 2, and large subunit ribosomal RNA". The stretch from base 1 to 121 matches the Rfam family "5.8S ribosomal RNA", at positions 35 to 154 of the family's 154-position model. The record is from RNAcentral.
GAUGAAGAACGUAGCGAAAUGCGAUAAGUAAUGCGAAUUGCAGAAUUUCCGUGAGUCAUCGAAUCUUUGAACGCACAUUGCGCCCCCUGGUAUUCCGGGGGGCAUGCCUGUCCGAGCGUCAUUGCAACCUUCAAGCGCGGCUUGUGUGUUGGGUCUCGUCCCCCGUGGACGGGCCCGAAAGGCAGUGGCGGCGUCCCGACAUGGUGCCCGAGCGUAUGGGAAUCCUCUUCCGCUCGAAUCGGCCCAUGCGGCGCUGGUCGUAACCAAAUUUUUUACCGGUUGACCUCGGAUCAGGUAGGGAUACCCGCUGAACUUAAGCAUAUCAAUAAGCGGAGGA